Molecule: long non-coding RNA, 937 nt
Organism: Mustela putorius furo (domestic ferret)
Lineage: Eukaryota; Metazoa; Chordata; Mammalia; Carnivora; Mustelidae
Source: Ensembl
ACUAGAUUCUAUUGGUUUUCCAGGUAUGCUGUCAUGCCAGUUUGCUACACUGCACCAUAAGACUACAGUGGUGGUGAUAGCCCCUGGGGUAGUGAAACACAAUGGUCCUCUGUGUUCAUGUCACCUGGAGGAGAGCAGGAGGAAGAAAACCAUCCCUAGCAUCACGUGGCAGCACGGCACUGGAAAGGCCCUACAGGCCAUCGGGUUCAUACUGCAGCUCUGCUGGUCCGAUCAGUUGGAUCUAGAACUCCAAGGAGGGCUUGACCUGGAGGGUCUAGGUGAGUUACAGAAUCAGGGGACCAACUGAAGCAUUUUGAGCCAAACAGUCCCAGGUGAAUCUGUUCAGUGUGCAACUUCCUAUCUUCAAGGUGCUUAUGUGUAUACUUACUUGUGUGCGUGUGCCCAAGUGAACACACACAUAACACACACAGUGGCAUGCAAGAAAAGACUGGAGAACAAGAAAGCCUGUGUUUUUGUGUCUUGUCUAUUACCUACUAGCUCUGUGCUCUAGAUUGCAAGAUAACUGCCUGUUGCCCUCUGGAUGCCCGUCCCACCCCUUCUCUAGCCCCUUCUGCCCCAGGUGGCUGAACUUUAUGACUCCAUCAGAGGCUUUCCUGGCUUUCUGGUUUCCUCUUGGGUUUGGUAAGGGCUGAGCCCCAGCAGGAGCUUAGAGGGAGAGUUAUCACGAACUCAGAUCUCUUUCCUAGAGGUCACUUUGGGCUGACUUUGUCUUUCAACUUAGGGUCAUAACUCCUGUCAAGUAGAGCCCCCUAUAUGACUCCCUCUGCUGUUUCCCUUGCCCUGACCCCCAUAGGCCCUCCCCAUUAAAAAAAAAAUCUAAGUAUAAUUAACAUGUAGUGUUAUGGGAGCCUCAGACAUAUAAUGAAAUGAUUGAGUAGUUCUGUGCAUUUCUCAGCGCUCAUCAGGGUAAGUGUAC